This 150-nucleotide RNase P RNA is filed under the name Deltaproteobacteria bacterium. RNAcentral's name for it is "partial RNase P RNA component class A". It matches the Rfam family "Bacterial RNase P class A", at positions 1 to 154 of the family's 367-position model. From Rfam's summary of the family: Ribonuclease P (RNase P) is a ubiquitous endoribonuclease, found in archaea, bacteria and eukarya as well as chloroplasts and mitochondria. Lineage: Bacteria; Pseudomonadati; Myxococcota; Myxococcia. The record is from RNAcentral.
AGAGUGGAUCGGGUGGUCGCCGGUUCGUGCGAGCGGGCCGGAGGAAAGUCCGAGCUCCACAGGGCAGGAUGGUCGCUAACGGCGACCGGGGGCGACCCCAGGGAAAGUGCCACAGAAAAUAUACCGCCGCGCUGAAAAGCGAGGUAAGGG